This 64-nucleotide transfer RNA is filed under the name Ampullaceana lagotis. RNAcentral describes it as "tRNA-Ile". The record is from RNAcentral. Lineage: Eukaryota; Metazoa; Mollusca; Gastropoda; Lymnaeidae.
AAACAUCCGCCGGAAGAACGGGAUUCAUUGAUGUUGAAUAUUAUGAGAUUUUUCUCGUUGUUUA